AAGCCCCUUUCUUGCCCACCCUGGACCAAUAAUCGUCCUUGGUGCCCAACACAGGGGGGUAGAUGAUGUCUCUCAUAAACCUGUAGUGAAGGCGUGUCCACCUCACUGCGGAUCCUGUCGGGAGAAACAAUC
This is a small nucleolar RNA of Oryzias melastigma (Indian medaka), 132 nucleotides long. Ensembl annotates it as small nucleolar RNA SNORA26. The record is from Ensembl. Lineage: Eukaryota; Metazoa; Chordata; Actinopteri; Beloniformes; Adrianichthyidae.